GCUCGGGUGGUGAAAUUGGUAGACACGCCAGCUUGAGGUGCUGGUGGCCGUAAGGCUUUCGGGGUUCGAGUCCCCGCUCGAGCACCA
This 87-nucleotide transfer RNA is filed under the name Kiritimatiellaceae bacterium. RNAcentral describes it as "tRNA-Leu". It matches the Rfam family "tRNA". From Rfam's summary of the family: Transfer RNA (tRNA) molecules are approximately 80 nucleotides in length. Their secondary structure includes four short double-helical elements and three loops (D, anti-codon, and T loops). Lineage: Bacteria; Pseudomonadati; Kiritimatiellota; Kiritimatiellia; Kiritimatiellales; Kiritimatiellaceae. The record is from RNAcentral. RNAcentral also lists the same sequence under 1 other name.